UUUUGGACUUCGUCUUGAUGAGCAAGUCGAGCCAUGAUAGAGCUCAUGAAAUCUGUGGUGAUGGGCGGCGCGGCUUCGGGCGUUGGGGUUGGUUCGCCGCCCGGAGCGCCGAGGGUGGCGUCGUUUUGAACCAUGUAGAUCUAGAACGUUACUUUAGUCGGCCCCACGGUGGGCGCCAAUUGUUUGUGCAGGAUUCGGUUGAUUAGAACGAUGAACGUAGGAAUGGGGUGACUAAAGACGCUUUUAUUAGAAUCAAACAAGAGGUUACAAGAUUGACGGGAAAUAAGGAGACAAGAUCAAAGGUUCAAGCAACAGGAUCAAAGAGAUGAUUAGGAAACCCUAGAUCUAGCCGCUUCUGUGUGUGUUGUCCAAAAGUCCUCUUUUUUGUUGUCUCCUCAUCCCCUCUUAUAGUGUCCCCGUCCGUGAUGCCCUAAUCGUGUCGUCCUUUGGGCCCUGUCGUUAAAGGCCGAGUAUGGGGGCCUUGGCACUGUUCUCUAUAAGCCAAACGUAUUUAGUCGGCUUAGCUGAUCGGCUAAAAGUACUCUGGGGUCGAGCCGCCAUGUUUAGCCGCUCAAACCGACUAAACUGGUUAAGCUUGCCGGGCUAGGGCCUGUUAUUCGAUGGGUUUUGUGGAGGGAUGUAAUCCAUCUCCUACACUGAAGUGUGUGUUACAAGAAAUGAGGAAACACAAAUGGAAAUCCAAGUUACUACAAGAAGUGUUGGGACAUAUCAUUUGUGUUUUGGCUGGCACUUUUUAAUUUGGGGCCCUGUUAUGUAUGUUGUAAAGAGCUGCUGAGUCUAGGGAAAUACACUUUUCUGUCUUUAGAUUUAUAUUCAUAGCUUCUGAUUUGCUAAUCAACUAUAAACUAGUAGAGUUUUUACUAUUGCAAAUAUGGUUUGGAAUGCUUAUUUUUUCUUUAUAAAAUGUUUGACGAUUUAUCCUACUUGGUUUUCUUAUGGAAUAUUGGAAUGUUGUUUCUUUUUAUUUUAUUGGGUUAAGGUUUUGGUGAAGACUGAAGGGCUUAACAUAAGUUUGAUGCUGCAUCAGUUGUAUAAUUUGAGUUAACCGAUUAUAUAUAUGUUGCUUUAGAUCAGGUAAGUGUUCCCAUCUUAAAACCAAGAAUUUGGUUCCAACUGCAGGAUUUCUGAUUAAGUUUGUGAUUCCAAACUGCAGUUCAUUUGAGCUUACUCUUAACCCAACCCAGUUCAGCUUCAUUCCAAUAAGCUUGGUGCACCUAAACAUUCAAACUGUUUAGCAAGAACUUCCCCUAAAACAUGCAUAAACAAAUAAAUAGACAUGAAUUCUAGCAACAUUAAGCAGCCAACAGUAUUUAGGUAAGUUUUUUGACAAGCUUGUAGCAAAAUUUUCAGAAGGACUUGUUGUGGUUAGAUGUAACAUCUAAGAACGUGGUUAAUUUAAAAGAAUCUAAAAUACUCAUCUUUCUUCUCAACUUACUUUUUCCUAUUUCAGAAACCUAAAAAUGUUACGAUAUUCAAACAACUUACUUGACCACCAAGCAAUCUUGUUGGCAUAUCUAUAAUCUAUCAACAUUUAUUAAUGUGUUACCCAAAAACCAUUCAAAAAUGAACCGAACAAACCCAAAAGAAUCUCUCAGAUUACAUCAACCCGACAUUUCUACGGGAUAUCGAGUCUACAAGAGUCAAGAGAAGUGGCAACGCAAAAGAAUGGCGUGCUCCAAAGAUACAGUUGGAGAAAACCUCUCCGUACGCAGUAGCGCAUAUAUAAUUCCCGGAGAAAGCCUCCAUCUCUGGAAAAAAUCCUUCUCCAAGGUGGUGGUUUAAUCAUCUACACAGUGUUCUCGCCGACUUACCACACUUUCCUCACUUCAGCGGUAGCCGCAGCCAACUGCUUGAUAAUACUAUGCUUAAGAAAAGAGCGGAAAUGAAUUUAAUUUUGUAUCAGUUGCAUAUAAACUAUGCUUAUUCAGUUAUUCUCAAAUACGUAGAAGUGUUUAAUAAAACUUGUUUGCUUGAGAUUACAAUCAUUGAACACAACAAUGCAUCUUUAUGGACUUAAUUACUCCCAAUAAAGCUAUAUUCUCGUAAGUCGUCAAUGGCAAGUAAUCUCUAAAUCUCUUCACAUCUCUAUAAAUAAAGUAGACUUUGGUCUCUCCUCCUUGCGCCACGUCACUAUGGAGGGAGGGGCAAAUCGCGCCACGUCAGCGCUCAACUUAAACUUCUCGGAAUGGGCCUACGACGACAAUGAAAUAUUUAGUAGUCUAAUGUUUUCUCCACCUGCGUUUCCGCUAUUCCUGUUGAGAUUCCCUGCAACCCUCAGACAACAGCUUCAGGUUUCUGUAACGCUUAGCCUAGACGAUGAGACGGUUGUCUAUACUUCUAACUAUUAAAUCAGUCCUUCAAUCUCUCUCACAGCAAUGAAUUCAAUAGCUUCCUUCCCAAAAGUUCCGAUGAAAUCCCUGAAAAAACAUUAUAUAAUAACCGUCUAAGAAAUCUCCAAAUCCAGCUUCUUCAACAGAAUAUAAUCUCUUUCUUACUAGAAAACCGGCAACAAUGGUAUCGUACCAAAUUUUUCUGAUGUUAACACAGGUCGUUGUUCCGAUACCGUAGUCACACGCCUUCUGCUGAGUCUAGGAAGCCCGAGACAUCAACAAAGGAGGGGGGGAUGGGUGUCGACAUGCUCCUUAUUGAUGAAAAGGUUUGUCUCUAAACCUGACAGCUUCUCAUAGACUUGAAGACAUCUAAUUUUGUUUGCCUCUUCCCAGGAAACCCUUAUCCAAGGGUCUAUCAGCGAACAUUGGCUUAACACAUUCCGACAUCUGCUGAGAGAAGGUGCAACUUAUGAGAUUAGCGGAUUGAUGUUUUAAGUAGCAACACGGAAAUGAAGUUCUCAGAUUCAAAAGAAUCGAUACACUUCACAAACUAUACUACGUUUGUUGAGAGGACCGAAUCACGUGCUUCAAUUCCCUUGGAGCGCUUUACGUUAUGCAGCGUUAAUGUCUUUGGCAAAUACUAAUAGUCAGUUACCUGGUGAUGGAAAGCUUGGAACAUGCAAUGAAACGUGAUGCUCAAUUGGUAGCAAAUAUCUUGGAGGCGCUGUUAACUAUGAUUCUCCUCAUAUUACUGAUCCAAGAGCUGGGGCUUGGUGUCUCUUCAUGCAUUGAGAGCUGCCUAGAAGAGGCUGGUGUGUCACCCGAGGACGUAACAAGAAUUAACUUUCAGGCUUCCGAAAUUUUGUAAAAAAAAAGGUUUCCAUUUAUUUGUCUGAAUGUUUUUUCAGGUAAACUACAUCUAUGCGCAUGCAACUUCCACUCUUGCUGGUGAUCUUGCUGAGAUCAAUGCCUUAAAAAAGGUGUUCAAAGCACUUCAGGGAUCAAAAUCAAUGCCACUAAGGAGCAUUGAGAUCACACAAGUUCAAAGGUUGCAAAUGAAAGUUCAUAAAUAUCUCCAUGAGCAGUUUGAGGUAUUGAAUUCACCUGCAUAGCAGCUAAAGAAAUUAACCUUCUUCAUUGCUGAUUUCAAACCAGGAAGGGUAUGAAUUUUUGUUAGUGGUUUAAGCCUGGUUCAUGAAUUGUAGUUAACUUUUAUACCAAAACAUGUUGCAUAUAUGUUUCGGUUAAAGAAGAACCGGGUUAUAUUGUGGAAAAGGAUGCUGCAACCUACAAGUCUUCUAUCUUGAUUUUUAAUUUUUUAUGAGACUGAUAUGAUGGUCUCUUAGAGACAGUGCGUGUAUAAAUAUAGUUUCUCAUUACGUAUGAAGUAAGGUUUCUCAUUACGAAAAUCAUUUUUCAGAUUGUGUAUAAAGUAUAGUUCUUUACGUAAAUCAUUGUUUUUAGAUUCUCAUGUUUUGCCUUUCUUCUGCUUUUUGAUUUGAAUAAAGUCAAACUCAUAUGGUGAGAUUUUUUUUCCAUCGAAACAGAGAUUAUAUUAACUUGAUGGAAUACAUGAUUGGGACACAGAAGCCGGCAAGCCACAUAGCUUCCGGAGACUAAGCCAGCGGAUGAAAGAGCCAUCCCUGGAGACUUUAGCCGGCGAACAACAGACAUGUUCCCGGAACCAAAAGAAAAAACCUUAGAGCUAGGAUGAAACAAACUCAGAACAGAUCCAACAAUACAAUAACUGAACAAUGUUAAAACUGGAAGGGACAAAAAAGA
Long non-coding RNA from Brassica napus (rape), 4133 nucleotides. RefSeq lists it as uncharacterized. Lineage: Eukaryota; Viridiplantae; Streptophyta; Magnoliopsida; Brassicales; Brassicaceae. The record is from RefSeq and is a predicted model, not a curated record. The transcript is spliced from 3 exons.